RNAcentral lists this ribosomal RNA (253 nucleotides) under uncultured bacterium. RNAcentral describes it as "partial 16S ribosomal RNA". It matches the Rfam family "Bacterial small subunit ribosomal RNA", at positions 524 to 776 of the family's 1533-position model. The record is from RNAcentral.
UACAGAGGGGGCAAGCGUUAUUCGGAAUUAUUGGGCGUAAAGGGCGCGUAGGCGGCCUGGCAAGUGGAAGGUGAAAUCCCUCGGCUUAACCGAGGAACUGCCCUCCAAACUGCUUGGCUUGAGUCCGGGAGAGGUGAGUGGAAUUCCCAGUGUAGCGGUGAAAUGCGUAGAUAUCAGGAAGAACACCCGUGGCGAAAGCGGCUCUCUGGGACGGUACUGACGCUGAGACGCGAAAGCGUGGGGAGCGAACAGG